Molecule: non-coding RNA, 2230 nt
Organism: Elaeis guineensis (African oil palm)
Lineage: Eukaryota; Viridiplantae; Streptophyta; Magnoliopsida; Arecales; Arecaceae
Source: RefSeq, a predicted model, not a curated record
CGUCACUCCAGCAUAUUUUGCAGUUCAAACGAGCUCUGCAUAUUUUGCAGCAUAAUAUCUCUAAUAAUCCGUCUCGUAUAUUCAAACCAACUCAUCUCCAUAAUGCAAUGUAUGCAGCCGGGUCCAUGAGAUCUUGCUUUCGCCUCCGCUCUCCACAGAAAGCUUCGCUCUUCUUUCUCCAACCUUCUUCACUUCCAUCGCUCUUCCCCUCUUAGACAAAAGGAAAGAAAGAUGAGAGCUUUCCUCCUCCGAUCGGUUGAAACGUCCUCAGAAGAGGAGGUGGGAGGAAGAGAGCUUUCCUCCUCCGAUCGGUUGAAACGUCCUCAGAAGAGGAGGUGGCGCUUCCUCCCACCUCCCCCGUCGAACUUUCUCCGUCGAGUCCAGCCCUGAGCGCAAGGUCGCCAUCCUCGGCGCCACCGGCGGCAUUGGCCAGCCCCUCGCUCUCCUCAUGAAGCUCAACCCUUUGGUCUCCUCCCUUUCCCUCUACGAUAUCGCGGGCAACCCCGGCGUUGCCGCCGACGUCAGCUAGAUCAACACCCGCGCCCAGGUUGCCGGAUUUAUGGACGUGGAGCACGGCGUGAAAGCCCUAGAGGGCUCCGAAUUUGUCAUCGUCCCCGCCGGCGUCCCCCGGAAACCGGGCAUGACCCGCGACGAUCUAUUCAACAUCAAUGCCGGCAUCGUCAAGUCUCUCUGCGCGGCCAUUAUACCACCACCACUCCUUUCCAUUUCUUUUCCUUUUUCUUUUCUUGCCCCUUCUUUAUUUCGUUCACCUUAAAACACAUGCAAACAAUUGUUCUUUUUUUUUUUGGUUAAAUUUAGGCACUUAUUAAUAUGAUUAGCAACCCAGUGAAUUCGACGGUGCCGAUUGCGGUGGAGGGGUUCAAAAAGACAGGGACUUAUGAUGAAAAGAAGCUUUUCGGAGUCACCACGCUCGAUGUGGUGAGAGUUAAGACUUUCUAUGCCGGGAAGGCAAAGGUUCCGGUUGGGGUGGCGAAAGUUGUCCACUGCAAAGGUUAAUGUCCCUGUUGUUGGUGGGCAUGCCGGUAUAACCAUUCUGCCUCUGUUUUCCCAGAUGAUGCUGAUAUUCUGCUCUCUGAGACCGGUGAGCCUUUACGAGAUUCUCAUUUGCUGGCAGAAUUCUCAUCAUUUUGCUUAAAGCUAUGCUGGUGCCGUCUUUGCUGAUGCAUGCUUGAAAGGUCUUAAUGGGGUUCCAGAUAUUGUGGAGUGCUUUUUUGUGCAAUCAAGCAUCACCGAACUACCUUUGCCUCCAAGUCUCUUGUCAGAAGUGACCCCUUUUGUUUAAAGCCCAAGUAUAAGCAGCAAAACCUGCUGGAUGACACAUAAUUUAUUGAAAGGUAAGGCUGGGAAAGAAUGGUGUGGAGGAAGUACUUGGAUUGGGAUCACUUUCUGAUUAUGAGAAGCAAGGCUUAGAGUCUCAAGGCUGAGCUCGAAUUCUCCAUAGAGAAGGGGAUUAAGUUUGUUCAAGAGAAUUAGCUUGUCUAUGCAAGGGUUCAGGUUCUUCCAAUACCAUGAAAUUUGGCUUAUUCACUUCAAUGGAGGAGGUCUUUGCCAUUGUCUGUCAACAAUUACCCGGUGCUUGGUUUUGGCUGUGAGAUUAAAGCAAACUAGGCUUUUAGAUUUUUGACUGCAUCAAGAAAUAUGCAAAUUGUGAAGAAAGGAACCGAGAAUUAUUUCGGUUGUGCACAAGGCCUCAAGUAAAAUUCGAUUACAUCAGUUAAGUCAUCAAAUGGAACAAAGGGACUACGGUAUGAUUCUUCUAGGACCACUUUUUUUUUUUUUGGGUACGUUUGGACCAUUGGUUUAUGGUCCCUUGUUUGAAAGGCUUUGUGCUUUUUGGCUCAAUUGGUUUGUCAAACCUUGGUUGCUGUUUUCUUAUCCUGCCACUCUCCAAAAUCUCAGUUGUCAGUCUAAAUGAGUUGUUUAUCAAACUAGUUCACCUAAGCUUGGACUAUCGGAUCACGAGGAAAACGAACUUUUUGUUUUUCACAGCUCUUACGCAAGGCAAUGACUCAGGUUGGCGGCCUUCUUGUGUCCAGAAAUUUCCCAGUGCUGGCUGGGUUUUGUUAGGCUGUCCUUUUCUUUUGGUUGCUUCUUGUUUUAGCAUUCUUGUUUUCUUUCUCCUCUUAAUGUUUGUCAGUGUAUUAAUGUGAACCUGCUGGUUACGAGAGUGAUCGCUGUUUUUAAUGAUGUGGUAUCGUCCAUUGCAUUA